GACAGGAGCAAAUCUGCUCGUCCCUAGACAGAUAGGGCGAGAGGAAAAAUGGCCAUUUUGAGAAAAUGGAGAAGAUUGAUACAGCAUGUUUGUGUCUUGUUUAGUCUUGGUGUAUUGUAUUGUCUUUGUGAUGAAAAUAUGGAAAGGGUGAAAAGUAAAUUACUAAGGGAAGAAGGCACCCCAAUGGAACCAAAAAUAGUUAGGACAUGUGUUGAUAGAAGCCCAGGAACUCUAGUCAGAAAGAAGAAAGUUCAGAGGAGGAAGGAUUAUCAGGAAAAAAGUUGCAGCAAAAGGCUAUUACUGAAUACUUUUCGUUACCGGAGGGUGCGUGAAUCUGCAAGGUGACUGCCACGUGCGCGAGCCGGUCAUGGCGCAGCAAGGACUUUCCAAGUGGUGGCAGCAGGCUCUUCCCCGCCCCCUGCCCAGGGAGUGGGCCGCCACUUCGAGAGCCCAAAUCCAAACCUGACCCGGAGGCACAGUCUCACGGGCUCUUGCUCCCUGUGCCCAGUGGCAGUUUGAGUACUGGACGCUCCCUGGGACUCUCCCCAGGAGUCCGGGACACUCCCCGGACUCUCUCCAGGGCCAUCUAGGGCUGCCCGGGACACUGCAGGUGGAAGACGGCCUGCAUCCCUGAAGUUUGAUCAUUUCCAAGGCCAGUAACUACAAUGGUUCUCCCACACCUGGAAGCUAGUUCCUGCCUUUGUCCCAGUGCCGGUGAGGACGAGGAUGGAAGAAUUUCUAGUGUUGCUGAAAACCGGACGAGACUUUGGAUCAAGCUAGCUGCCUACAGAACUUACCUAGACUGUGAUUUACCUGGACUGUGAGUUAAUCUAUUGAGACACUGCUUUACCUGGACUGAGACAACACACUGUAAUCUACAACAAAUUGUAACUCGGUAUCUUUGCUAACAGUGUCAUUGCUGGUAUAAUUUUUCAAAGGGCUUCUUGCAUGGAGACAUCAAUUGGCUUGGUAUUGUGGCAUUUUGUAUCCUCCCCUUCUGCUUGUAGCAGAUAAUUUAUGGUGUUUCUGUAAAACCCACUAUGGUCGUUAUUUAAAUUAAACAAAAGGGAGAAAUGUUAGAGUCUGUAAACAAGUCAGGAUGGCGCCUGGCAUUUUGCCAAGGGAGUGGUUUGUGAAGUAACGCCAGCGAGCCAUUAAGUGUGGAGAUUUCUUAUUGGUUGACUGCUGUAUCUAGUUUAUGUUAAUUAAGAUAAGCUGUGUGGAAUGUAUAAAUACCCCUCCUGUCCUACAAUAAACGGCUCCCACUCCUGCUG
RNAcentral lists this long non-coding RNA (1274 nucleotides) under Marmota monax (woodchuck). The record is from RNAcentral. Lineage: Eukaryota; Metazoa; Chordata; Mammalia; Rodentia; Sciuridae.